This is a long non-coding RNA of Stegodyphus dumicola, 821 nucleotides long. RefSeq lists it as uncharacterized. The record is from RefSeq and is a predicted model, not a curated record. NCBI's taxonomy places the organism in Eukaryota, Metazoa, Arthropoda, Arachnida, Araneae, Eresidae.
CAGUGCUGCAGUAAAUUGUGCGGCGCGACGUAUUUUAUUUUGAUUUUUGAAUCCUCCAUCUAAUGAAAGCGUUUUUGAUUUUAAAUUCUGAGGAAGAGUUUUGCGUAUUGGUGUGAAAAUGCAGUGUAUUAAAGUGUGUCUCAGUAUCGAUAUGAUUUCGAAUUAUCAUAAUUCUCUGCGGUAGUAAGCCCAAUAAUAUGCCAAUUUCAUAUCGAUCGAAUGGAAGAGUUUUAGAAUCUCACCAAAAUCAAACAACGUAUGCGAAAUGUGUAAAUUUAACGGAAUACCCUCUAACUAAAAGAAUGCAUCUGAUGUAAUUAAAAGAAGUGUCACAUGAACAUUUAAAAAGACUUUAAUUUCUUUUCAUUGCUUCCAUUUUACUUUUUUCGUACUUUAAUAUGCUACAACCUAGAAGCUAAGGAUGCUAUGGAUUUCAAUUGUAUAUGACAUUUUGUAGCAUUUUACUCCUUUUCCCUCACCUCCUAUCAACUCAGUUUAUAGAAAAUCAUCCUCUUUGUCGGGCUACCUCUAAUUUGGUUGAAGAAACAAAAUAAAACCAUGUGAUAGUUGGAAUAAAAAAGCUUCAAAGUGUAAAAUUAUUGACUUCCCUAAGAUCACCACAGUUUAAUGAAGAUGAUGGUUUUUUAUACUAGUGUAACCUAUUUAGUCAUUGAAUACCAUAUUAAAUGCUGGCUGAGGUGUUCUCUUGACAGAAAAGGUGAAUGUAUGGAUCAUCAUAAGAAGAAAUUCAUUUCUGAUUAAUUUGUUGAAAUGUCUUUGUUAUCAAUUCUCUGAAUAAAUUCUUCUUUGAAUAGUUUAAA